GACGAACGCUGGCGGCGUGCUUAACACAUGCAAGUCGAACGGUGAAGCGCCUUCCUUUUUGGUGGGUGUGGAUGAGUGGCGAACGGGUGAGUAACACGUGAGUAACCUGCCCCCUUCUUCUGGAUAACCGCAUGAAAGUGUGGCUAAUACGGGAUAUUCUGGGUCUGUCGCAUGAUGGGUCUGGGAAAGAUAUUGUUUCGGUGGGGGAUGGGCUGGCGGCCUAUCAGCUUGUUGGUGGGGUGAUGGCCUACCAAGGCGGUGACGGGUAGCCGGCCUGAGAGGGUGGACGGUCCCACUGGGACUGAGACACGGCCCGGACUCCUACGGGAGGCAGCAGUGGGGAAUAUUGCACAAUGGGCGCAAGCCUGAUGCAGCGACGCCGCGUGAGGGAUGGAGGCCUUCGGGUUGUGAACCUCUUUCGCCAGUGAAGCAGGCCUGCCUCGUUUGUGGGUGGGUUGACGGUAGCUGGAUAAGAAGCGCCGGCUAACUACGUG
This 494-nucleotide ribosomal RNA is filed under the name uncultured bacterium. Its description in RNAcentral is "partial 16S ribosomal RNA". It matches the Rfam family "Bacterial small subunit ribosomal RNA", at positions 28 to 507 of the family's 1533-position model. The record is from RNAcentral.